CGGGAUGUAGCACAGUUGGUAGUGUACCUGGUUUGGGACCAGGUGGUCGCAGGUUCGAGUCCUGUCAUCCCGACAA
RNAcentral lists this transfer RNA (76 nucleotides) under Prevotella sp. oral taxon 299 str. F0039. RNAcentral's name for it is "tRNA-Pro". It matches the Rfam family "tRNA". From Rfam's summary of the family: Transfer RNA (tRNA) molecules are approximately 80 nucleotides in length. Their secondary structure includes four short double-helical elements and three loops (D, anti-codon, and T loops). Lineage: Bacteria; Pseudomonadati; Bacteroidota; Bacteroidia; Bacteroidales; Prevotellaceae. The record is from RNAcentral.